UUAUAUUAUAUUAUUAUAAUUAAUUAACAAAAAUAUUAAUUUAUUUCGCUAUCUUAUGUAUUGGCUCUGAAACAUUUAUACUCAAUGGGAAGUUGUGGAGAGUCAUUUUGGUUGAGAUAUAUAUAUGUAGGUUAGUAAGGGAGGAAGGUCUUGGACAUGUUUGGCAGACUGCUGGAGCGACCCCUGAUGCUCACGCUCGAUAUCCGAUGCUGAUCAUAAUGUUGGACAAGCAGCUGAUCUUCAUGAAGCAGAUGCAGGCCGAGGAAACCCAAGGUUACUCUCCUGUCUCCAAAAACAUGCCUGUGGUUGCCGGAAUUUAUCCAGCAAUUGCAGGAACACAUACAGAUCCCUUACAAUAACUUCAGUUUCAUCAGCCACCUAUGCAUGGAGUCUGUGGAUGGAAAGGAGAUGAUCCAGAAAUACAAUGAGUUGAUGCAGCAACUCAAACAGUGAAAAUAGGUAUUAUGUGUGUAUUAUGAAUCUGGAAUCCCGUGUUUAUUUUUGUGUGUACCAGCUGAUUUAAGUCCAGACGACUCUAUUUUAUUUAGCCAAUGUAUAGAAUGCUCUGAUCCACCUUUGUUCAAAUAAAUGAGGCUUUUUAUUAAAGGCCCUAUAUAUUCUUGAGCAAGCGUGAACAGAGCGGUGGAACAUGAAGACUGGGUGGUAUUGCUGAGAGACCUUCAGCCUGUACAUGGAAUUAACAAACAAACAUGAUUUAUUUGCUCAUUUAAGGCGCUAGUGUCUGUAGAUUAUUACUUCAGGGUCUCAUUUUCUCUAAUUAUGUGCAGUGCUUCCACAUCACGGCAUGACCAAUGGCUGUGUAAAUCGUCGCUGAUGUAGGAAUGCAUGCGAGUGUUAGAUGGCGUCUGUGUGACCAAAGAUGUGAAUGCAUGUGUGUGUUUCCCUUCAUAUGAGAAACGAAUGAUGCAUUUCCCAAAGAGCCAGAUCUCUGUUCUCUCCAGUCAGAAAUUAAGCCCCCUCGUUAGAUGAUGGUAAUCAGCGAUGUUGCGUAAGCUGGAGCUGUUAUUGGUAUCUCUAGUCAUUAUGUCUUGACACCGAGACGUAUGACUUGUGUGAAGCAAAGCGAUAUUUGAUUUCAUGAACCGCAGCUCUGCAACUGUAAUAAGAUAAACCACACAGAAAUCCAAUAAAGGCCGGACUCUCUCACAGUCGGCCUGUAAAGAGAUUACUGUAACAGUACAGGGACCCGGCGUGC
This 1216-nucleotide long non-coding RNA is filed under the name Sinocyclocheilus anshuiensis. RNAcentral's name for it is "lncRNA (ENSSANG00000004394.1)". Lineage: Eukaryota; Metazoa; Chordata; Actinopteri; Cypriniformes; Cyprinidae. The record is from RNAcentral.